RNAcentral lists this ribosomal RNA (547 nucleotides) under uncultured bacterium. RNAcentral's name for it is "bacterial SSU rRNA". It matches the Rfam family "Bacterial small subunit ribosomal RNA", at positions 358 to 916 of the family's 1533-position model. The record is from RNAcentral.
GGAAUAUUGGGCAAUGGAGGAAACUCUGACCCAGCGACGCCGCGUGCGGGAUGAAGGCCUUCGGGUUGUAAACCGCUUUCAGUAGGGAAGAAGCGAAAGUGACGGUACCUACAGAAGAAGCACCGGCUAACUAUGUGCCAGCAGCCGCGGUAAUACAUAGGGUGCAAGCGUUGUCCGGAAUUAUUGGGCGUAAAGAGCUCGUAGGUGGUUCGUUACGUCGGAUGUGAAAAUCUGGGGCUCAACCCCAGACCUGCAUCCGAUACGGGCGAGCUAGAGUUUGGUAGGGGAGACUGGAAUUCCUGGUGUAGCGGUGGAAUGCGCAGAUAUCAGGAGGAACACCAAUGGCGAAGGCAGGACUCUGGGCCAUUACUGACACUGAGGAGCGAAAGCGUGGGGAGCGAACAGGAUUGGAUACCCUGGUAGUCCACGCCGUAAACGGUGGGCACUAGUUGUGGGGACCUUCCACGGUCUCUGCGACGCAGCUAACGCAUUAAGUGCCCCGCCUGGGGAGUACGAUCGCAAGAUUAAAACUCAAAGGAAUUGACGG